UACGGAGGGUGCAAGCGUUAAUCGGAAUUACUGGGCGUAAAGCGUGCGCAGGCGGUUUGUUAAGUCCGUUGUGAAAGCCCCGAGCUCAACUUGGGAAUUGCAGUGGAUACUGGCAGGCUGGAGUACGGUAGAGGAAGGUGGAAUUCCCGGUGUAGCAGUGAAAUGCGUAGAUAUCGGGAAGAACACCCGUGGCGAAGGCGGCUCUCUGGAACGCAACUGACGCUGAGACGCGAAAGCGUGGGGAGCAAACAGG
This 253-nucleotide ribosomal RNA is filed under the name uncultured bacterium. Its description in RNAcentral is "partial 16S ribosomal RNA". It matches the Rfam family "Bacterial small subunit ribosomal RNA", at positions 524 to 776 of the family's 1533-position model. The record is from RNAcentral.